UGACGGUACCCUUUCGAAUAAGAGGUUGCUAACUCUGUGCCAGCAGCAGCGGUCAUACAGAGACCUCGAGCGUUAUCCGGAUUUACUGGGCGUAAAGCGUCUGUAGGGGGUUUGUUACGUUCCAAGUAAAAUCUUAAGGCUCAACUUUAAGUUCGCUUGGAAAACUAAUAAACUGGAGUCCAGCAGAGGUGCAUGGAACUUGCGGUGUAGGAGUGAAAUCCGUUGAUAUCGCAAGGAACACCAAAGGCGAAGGCAUUGGCACUGGGCUGGUACUGACCCUGAGAGACGAAAGCGUGGGGAGCAAAACGGAUUAGAUACCCGUGUAGUCCACGCCGUAAACGAUGGACACUAGAUGUUCGGGGAUUCGACCCCCUGGGUGUCACAGCUAACGCGUUAAGUAUCCCGCCUGGGAAGUACGGCCGCAAGGCUAAAACUCAAAGGAAUAGACGGGGAUCCGCACAAGCGGUGGAGCGUCUGGUUUAAUUUGAUAGUAAGCAAUGGACCUCACCAAGGUUUGACAUCCUAUGACAACCCUGGAAACAGGGCUUCCUUCGGGCAUAGUGACAGGUGCUGCAUGGUCGUCGUCAGUUCGUGCCGUGAGGUGUUCCGUUAAGUCGGGAAACGAACGAAACCCUCGUCGCAUGUUACAAAUUUCAUGCGAGACUGCCCGGGUCAACCGGGAGGAAGGCGGGGAUGACGUCAGAUCAGCAUGGCCCUUAUACCUUGGGCUACACAGGCGCUACAAUGGCCGGUACAAAGGGUUGCAAAACCGCGAGGUGAAGCUAAUCCCAUAAAGCCGGUCCAAGUUCGGAUUGGAGGCUGCAACUCGCCUCCAUGAAGUUGGAAUCGCUAGUAAUCGUGGAUCAGCCAUACCACGGUGAAUACGUUCCCGGAUCUUGUACUCACCGCCCGUCACACCAAGAGAGUUGGUAGCUCCUGAAGCGUCGCAUUAG
This 953-nucleotide ribosomal RNA is filed under the name uncultured organism. RNAcentral's name for it is "bacterial SSU rRNA". It matches the Rfam family "Bacterial small subunit ribosomal RNA", at positions 470 to 1438 of the family's 1533-position model. The record is from RNAcentral.